Molecule: ribosomal RNA, 324 nt
Filed under: uncultured eukaryote
Lineage: Eukaryota
Description: partial 18S ribosomal RNA
Rfam family: Eukaryotic small subunit ribosomal RNA
Source: RNAcentral
CCCUUAGAUGUCCUGGGCUGCACGCGCGCUACACUGAUGUGUCCAGUAAGCACCUAACCUAUUCCGAGAGGAGCGGGUAACCUUAGCAAAGCACAUCGUGAUGGGGAUAGAUUAUUGCAAUUAUUAGUCUUGAACGAGGAAUUCCUAGUAAGCACAAGUCAUCAGCUUGUGUUGAUUACGUCCCUGCCCUUUGUACACACCGCCUGUCGCUCCUACCGAUUGAAUGUUCCGGUGAGCUCUUCGGACUGCGCGGUCUGCAGUUUCUGCGUUCCGUGCGGAAAGUUGUGCAAACCUUAACAUUUAGAGGAAGGAGAAGUCGUAACA